This 487-nucleotide long non-coding RNA is filed under the name Olea europaea subsp. europaea. The record is from RNAcentral. Lineage: Eukaryota; Viridiplantae; Streptophyta; Magnoliopsida; Lamiales; Oleaceae.
CAUGAUUUAUCGUUCUAACUUGUCACAUUCCCUAAUAUUCAGAACAACCAUGUAGUACAUGCUUUGUAGAUGAAAGUAUGCAUAUUGGGAUCAUCGUAGGGUGACCGAAUUGGUGGAGUAAAUGAGCGAGGAGGCCUUUGGUCAGGAGUUCGAUUCCUCCUACCAACACUUUUUCAGUCAAGUCUGUCGCACUGUGCGGUUUAUCUGAUUGGAGUGGUUUGCAAGCUAUUGUAUCAACUCGAGAGUUUACUCAAUGCGCACUCGAAUGGUAGCGACUGCGGGUUCCCUCAUCACUAAAAAAAAAAAAAAAAAAGAGGAAGGUAUGCAUAUUGGAUUUAGUUCCACUAAAAAAUUCCGUCAUUUUUGGAAGUAGUGUAUGACCUUAGUUGUCUGUGUAAGUCAUGGUUAAAGUUAGAUGAUCUCUAUCAAAGUUCGUCACCAUCGACACGUCUUAUCCAACUAAGGAAUUGGUAUAACAGGUGUGGAA